UUUUGUUGGUCUUUCUGUGUCAAAUCAAAUGGACUUUUGUUGGUCCUAAUGCGGCACAUCAGAUGGUUUCUUUUGGUCCUAAUGUGUGACACCAUCCGGAGAAUUUGAUUUAGUUUUGUUCCAAAUGAUGUUCCUGAAGCUUUGUGCUUCCUCUCAUAAAACAAUAGAAAAGAUCAGUAAUGACUCAUCUUUCAGAAUCAGUGUUUUGUUGAUCUGGCUCUGUUUUGCUGAUGCUGCUGAUGCUGUUGGAAAUAAUAUUUUUCCAGCUCCGAAACUGAUAUGUUUUGUGUUUGUGCGUGUGUGUACACAUGCACGAGUGCUUAUAUGUGUGUGUGCAUGUUUGUGUGUGUGUGUAUUUACACUAUGUGUGUGAUGUACAUUUGUUAGACACUUGGAGUUGUAUUGUUCAAGGGGACCUGCUCUGCUCUGGAAGCACUCCUGCUUCCUCUGCUAUCACUGGGAAAUUGGGGCCUGUAUUGUACCUUGGUGGGAAAUAACAUCAGACAGAAAACCCAUUUUGUUUCUACCCCUGAGAGCUCUCUCUCCUGCAUCAGCUACAGAGGUGCUUGGUGCGGAGGUAGGUUUGUUUGACUCCUUUACGAGGGGCCAUUUACUAAUGUAUUUUAUCGCCGUAAUACUGUGGGAUUCUAAUUACACUGAUUUGUCUCUUACUUCAAAGCUUGUGCUGAUUGUACUCAUUAGAUCGAAAUUGAACUGGGAUUUAUUAAAUGGGCAUCACAUCGCCCACAGUUCAUUCUGAGAGAAUGAAGGCAACACUUGUGAGCUGUGUUUUACCUUUUAUUUAUUCUUGAAAUAGCCUGUUGUAUUACUAGUAGUAAUAAUUUCGAUCAUCUCAGUCAAGCCAUAGAAGUACAUUAUUAUCAAUGGUUUGUUAAUACUUGGCAAGUUAUUUUCCAUUCAUUUUAAAUGUGAGAAUAGGCAUUGGUAAUAGACUGAAUUCAGUCAACUCUUUGCCCAUCAGAUCUUUUCCCUGUUCGGUCAUUCACAGCUUUGGUGAAACAUUGUUGUAUAAGGUUUUAUAAGCCCACCAGGGGUAUGAGUACCAUGUACACUAGGACUGAUUUGAAUUAUUUGUGUACCUUGGCUAUUCCGCUCCUACUCUGCAUGGGCUCACAGAGAGAGAGUUGUUGUGGGUGUUAAAUGGUUGUCAUUAAACUGCAAGCCCAUAGUACUAUAUAAAGCCUAUGUAAUUACCACAGUAUUAAUCUAUCUAUAUUCCACCAUUUAACAGAGGAAAUCUCCGCACUGUCAUGGCAAUUUUUGCUCACAGGUAAAUGUCAAAACAUUAACCUUGAGUGGGUGAAUGCUAUGACAUGAUAAAUCGGGCCAUGCUCCACCAUUAUUUCCAACCUCUGUAAUCUGGUAAACAGAGGAAAGGUGGUAGUUUAGUAGAGCAUUCUGCUUUCCUCUGAAACUAUGUGUACUGGGUUCAUUCGUACUGCACCAGUAUACAUGAGGCAUUGGAAUAACAACAUAUGAUCUAAGAGACCAUUUUUAAUUCAGCAAAACAAAGGUAAUUUGUGAUUUAGAUAAAGACAUUCAUUAAAGAUCUAACGUUAGCAAUAGAUUAUUUUGAAUUUAAGAUUCAUUUCGAUGAAGAUCAAAGACAUUGCAUGCAUUACAGUUGAAGGUGUAUUCAGAUCAGUGAGGAGGGACGGUCAGAGACCAUGACAGAUGGAGGUGUGUUCAGAUCAGUGAGGAGGGCUGGUCAGAGACCAUGACAGAUGGAGGUGUGUUCAGAUCAGUGAGGAAGGACGGUCAGAGACCAUGACAAAUGGAGGUGUGUUCAGAUCAGUGAGGAGGGCUGGUCAGAGACCAUGACAGAUGGAGGUGUGUUCAGAUCAGUGAGGAGGGACGGUCAGAGACCAUGACAGAUGGAGGUGUAUUCAGAUAAGUGAUGAUGAAAGACCACGGAUGCCAGAGGCUUUGUUGACAAUGUGUUAUUGCUACUGAUUUGUAAUCUUCUAUUUUAGCACUGUAUCACCUUCCUGCACGGUCUCUUUUAAACAUGUUUCAAAAUGGCACUGUCUAUACAGUAAUUGGUAUAUUGGGAGGCCCCUCCCCUGUCCUCUCUAUACAGUAAUGAGUAUAUUGAGAGGCCCCUCCCCUAUCCUCUCUAUACAGUAAUGAGUAUAUUGAGAGGCCCCUCCCCUAUCCUCUCUAUACAGUAAUUGGUAUAUUGGGAGGCCCCUCCCCUGUCCUCUCUAUACAGUAAUUGGUAUAUUGGGAGGCCCCUCCCAUGUCCUCUCUAUACAGUAAUGAGUAUAUUGGGAAGCCCCUCCCCUGUCCUCUCUAUACAGUAAUGAGUAUAUUGAGAGGCCCCUCCCCUGUCCUCUCUAUACAGUAAUGAGUAUAUUGAGAGGCCCCUCCCCUGUCCUCUCUAUACAGUAAUGAGUAUAUUGAGAGGCCCCUCCCCUGUCCUCUCUAUACAGUAAUGGGUAUAUUGGGAAGCCCCUCCCCUGUCCUCUCUAUACAGUAAUGAGUAUAUUGAGAGGCCCCUCCCCUGUCCUCUCUAUACAGUAAUGAGUAUAUUGGGAAGCCCUUCCCCUGUCCUCUCUAUACAGUAAUGGGUAUAUUGGGAAGCCCCUCCCCUGUCCUCUCUAUACAGUAAUUGGUAUAUUGGGAAGCCCCUCCCCUAUCCUCUCUAUACAGUAAUUGGUAUAUUGGGAAGCCCCUCCCCUGUCCUCUCAAUACAUUAAUGGGUAUAUUGGGAGGCCCCUCCCCUCAAUUUACACUAAUGAGUAUAUUGAGAGGCCCCUCCCCUAUCCUCUCUAUACAGUAAUUGGUAUAUUGGGAGGCCCCUCCCCUGUCCUCUCUAUACAGUAAUGAGUAUAUUGAGAGGCCACUCUCCUGUCCUCUCUAUACAGUCAUGAGUAUAUUGGGAGGCCCCUCCCCUCUCCUCUCUAUACAAUAAUGGUUAUAUUGGAAAGCCCAUCCCCUCACUGUACAGUAAUGGGAUUUAUGGAGAGCCCCUCCCCACAUAUAAUAUUUGAUAUAUUGCAGAGCCUAUGUUGGAGAGCCCCUCCCCUCCCCUCUAUAUACAAUAAUCGGUAUAUUGGAGCGCCCCUCCCCUUUCUAUACAGUAAUUGGUAUAUUGGAGAGUCCCUCCCCUUUCUAUACAGUAAUUGGUAUAUUGGAGAGUCCCUCCCCUUUCUAUACAGUAAUUGGUAUAUUGGAGAGUCCCUCCCCUUUCUCUACAGUAAUGGGUAUAUUGGAGAGUCCCUCCCCUUUCUAUACAGUAAUGGGUAUAUUGGAGAGCCCAUCCCCUUUCUAUACAGUAAUGGGUAUAUUGGAGAGCCCCUCCCCUUUCUAUACAGUAAUGGGUAUAUUGGAGAGCCCCUCCCCUCAUCUGCAUCUACCACAUAGUUCCUAAAGAGAGCAUAGAGCAGCCAGAGAGAACGUGCCUCCGUUUCAGCACGGAACAGUGGGUGCAGCAGUGAAUUAGGAGGUACAUUUUGUCUCAGAACAGGUGUUACAUCAAGUACUUGGACAACACUCUAUUUAAUAAAGAACAGAGCUGGAGCCAUGAUCAAGGCUGCUUUUGGUGGCUUGGUUUCCCAUCCAAGAUUCACCUGACAGAUGACGGACGUUCUGCAUGCUACUUGCCAAGAGCCAGAUUGUAUUAAUAGCAAAAAUGAAUCAAGUCAAGAACAGCUCUGCAGCUUUCACCCAGAAUAUUCCCCUGGAAAAUAUUCUCUUCUUUGAACCUGAUUCAACCUUGUAAUAAAUAAUUGUGCAGAUAGCUUCACCAAGACUCCAAUAUUACCAAGGCAACAAAUGACUCUUUAUCAAGGUAAUAUUUCCAUACUCCAGUAUUUCCAAUGCUUAGCUCAGGGCACUCAGAGUUUUCCUUCAUUAAUUUUAACAGUAUAAAGGCUAUGGAUAGUGAGCAAAUGAUGGCUAUGAGAAAAGGUCAGCGUUUCCCAAGCGUAUAUCAGUGUUGGCAUGCUCCUCUGCCCUCUGCUAGGUGCCAUUUGAAAGGCUUUUCUUGGCACAGAACCCUGCUAGACACCCCACCCCGCUUUGUGUCUGUUGGGAAACUGGAUGAGAACUUAAAUUGAAGUGGUCCAAAAAUACCAUAGAGAGUCCAUGUUUAAUUGCUUGGUAUUAUUGCAAUAUGCCCAUUCUCUGUGGUGCUGCUCUCCCCCCGGUCUCGGUAGGCAGCAAAGGGCUUAAUUGAAUUCCAGAAAAAUGUGAGCCUGUGUGUUUCCCCCAUCGUGGGGAAUCUAAAUGCAGCUCUCUCUGGUGUUUAGCCAUGGGGAGCUGUCCUUGGUGCUGGAAGGCUGGCUGACGUUCAAGAUUUGCAUUUAGCUGUACUGAGUACUCUGCUAAACUCAGGCACUCUCAGUGGAGGGAAACUUAGGUUCUGUACCAUGUCCAGUGGUUAGAUCUCUGUUAGCCUGCUACAAAUAGCAUGCCUGAACACCCGCAAAGUAACUUCAAACCGGUAAUGUUAGGGUAAUAUUAUUCCUUCAGAGGUUUAACAUGAUGCGCGUAUCAUUGAAGAGUACUAUUGCGGUUGACUUGAACAUAUUGCCUCAGUGGUGAACAAGCUCCCAGACCGUUAUAUUUCCGUUGUACCCAUAACAAUGAGACACAAUAUGUAGUGAAUUACUAAUAUCGUUGCCUUUAUGCACUUAACUUGUUUGAAAUGAAAAUGACUAAACAGUGACCAUUUAAAAUGGGCUUGGAUGCUAUGUGUAGAGCAUCAACAACAAGCCAUCGAAGGCAUUGUAAUAAGAGUCAUUCUUAUUAGAGCUUGGGUUAAUUAACUAACACAAGCAAUGCACUGUGCAGAUGCAGACCAGAGGAUUUGUUUUGUGGAGCUAAAUGAUUUUCAUCUCUGAGGUCAUGAUUGACUAUCAUUAGGCAGGCUUCGGCUCUGUCUGGAUUAAAGGCUUGUACUCUAUUUCGUGCAAGAGGCUUCAGUUAGACUUUCACUUCAUGAAAUGCAUAAGAUGUUAAGCACCAUGAAUUAGAUCAGGCCCAGCCUUUGGAUUCAUUAAUUGUAUAGAAAAGUAAUGUCAGAUCUAAUUAACCGCUCAUUAGCGGAUCAUAAAGGGCACUUGCACAAUUUUAUUGAAAUAUUGCUUCCACCAUUCAGCCCUAUGGUCAUUCUGCAGGGAGAGCAUGUAAACUUGAGGGGAGGGAAGCCAUACUGACAUGUAGCCCUCUAGGGAUGUGGGGUUUUGAGGGAGAAUUAUUUACAGUGACUGGAACUAUCACUUUUUAUGAGAGAAACUCAGAGAGCACGACUUGUCUGGAGGAUCCCACAGUACAGCUACAGAUUACCUAUAGAGUCAGGAUCUACCGGAGACUAUGGCUGGAGACCAGGUAAACAAACAUGAACUAAUACAGAUACCUGCAUCGAUAGGUUCCUUUCUCCCAUGAUCUUCACCACAGAGAGUAUAUUGUGCACUGCGGUGGUGGUGCUGUUUAGAAGUUAGUGGGUGAGGUCAUCCUAUUACUACCACUAGACCAAGACGAUAGGCUUUCUGAACUCUAGUGAUGGCCCUACAAAAGCAUAUAAUGGAGGUAAUUUUUUAAAUAUUUUUAUGUGAAUGGGCUCUUCUGUGAACCAAUCCAGUGAAGUGGACAAAUGCAUGAGAAGGACGACUAGAAUGUAUCUGGGUUUUAAUGGGGAUCUCUAUUAAUGCACCCUUCAAUUUAUAUUGAAAUUCUUCCAUGGAAUUAUUUUCUCUCUGACACUAUAUCCAAUCUAAAGCAAUUUAGUUUCUCUUUUUGGACUGGAGUUUGAAAAUCAUUCUUAACAUGUAAAUUUUGUCUAAUAAUAAUUUAAUGGAAAGAGAAGGGAAUCUCACCUGAGAAAUCCAAAGAUUCCUGAACCAGUAUUAUUAACAGAUCAACAGUAUUUACAGUAUGUCAAGUGACAUCAAUAUCAUGUUAAAUGAAGAGUUAUGUACAAAAUAGCACUAUAACUCAUAUCAAAUGUAUGAGUCCAACAAAAAAGUCCCCAUUAGUUUCCUCUGUAUUUAAAAAUUGCAGACGUGGUCUGCAGUGUAAGGGUGGCUGAGACGGAUACCUCCCUGAAUUAGGGCAUUAAAUGAAUGGGGAUUUUGGCAAUGGCAGUCAUGUUUUCCCAGAGUAAAUGAUGUCUGAGUUUCUCUUGGGUCAAAGACUCCCAGCAGCUAAUUAAUAGUGCCUGUUUUAAAAGCUACACAAUAAAAUUGAAGUAAUUUACUGUUCCAAUCACUGGCUGUAAAGUCUUGGAGCCAGCAAGCAGAUCCCAAUCCACAUGUUGACACGUGAAACAGAUGCAGUAUGUCCAGUAGAGAAAUAUGCUGACUUAACCACAAUGAACCAACCGACUACAGAGAACAAAGAGAGCUGAACCACUGAAUCAACCAACUACAGAGAGCUGAAGCACUGAACCAACUGACUACAGAGAACAAAGAGAGCUGAACCACUGAACCAACUGACUACAGAGAACAGAGAGAGCUGAAGCACUGAACCAACUGACUACAGAGAACAAAGAGAGCUGAACCGCUGAACCAACUGACUACAGAGAAAAGAGAGAGCUGACUGAAGUGGUUUUCUACAUUUUGUUAUGUUACAGCCUUUUUCUAAAAUGGUUUAAAUGAAAAAAAAUCCUCAUCAAUCUACGCACAUUACCCCAUAAUGACAAAGCGAAAACUGUUUAGGCAUUUCUGAAAAUGUCUUAACAAUAAAAAAACUGAAAUAUCUUAUUCAUAUAAGUAUUCCGACCCUUUGCUUUGAGACUCAAAAUUAGCUUAGGUGCAUUCUGUUUCCAUUGAUCAUCCUUAACUGGACUCCACCUGUGGUAUAUUCAAUUGACUGGACAUGAUUUUGAAAGGCACAUACCUGUCUAUAUAAGGUCCCACAUUUGGCAGUGCUUGUCAGAGCAAAAACCAAGCUAUGAGGUUGAAGGAAUUGUCCUUAGAGCUACGAUACAGGACUGUGUUGAGGCAUAGAUCUGGGGAAGGGUACCAAAAAACGUUCUGCAGAGUUGAAGGUCCCAAAGAACACAGUGGCCUCCAUCCUUCUUAAAUGGAAGAAGUUUGGAACCACCAAGACUUUUACUAGAGCUGGCCCCCCGGCCAAAUUGAGCAAUUGGGGGAGAAGGGCCUUCAUCAGGGAGGUGACAAAGAACCCGAUGGUCACUCUGACAGAGCUCCAGAGUUCCUCUGUGGAGAUGGAAGAACCUUCUAGAAGGACAACCAUCUCUGUAGCACUCCACCAAUCAGGCCUUUAUGGUAGAUUGGCCAGACGGAAGCCACUCCUCAGUAAAAGGCACAUGACAGCCCUCUUGGAGUUUCUCAGACCAUGAGAAACAACAGGCUCUGGUCUGAUGAAACCAAGAUGAAACUCUUUGGCCUGAAUGCCAAGCGUCAUGUCUGGAGGAAACCUGGCACCAUCCCUACGGUGAACCAUGGUGGUGGCAGCAUCAUGCUGUGGGGAUGUUUUUCAGCGGCAGGGACUGGGAGACUAGUCAGGUUUGAGGGAAAUAUGAACGGAGCAAAUACAGAGGUAUCCUUGAUGAAAACCUGCUCCAGAGUGCUCAGGACCUCAGACUGGGGCGAAGGUUUACCUUCCAACAGGACAACGACCCUAAGAACACAGCCAAGACAAUGCAGGAGUGGCUUCGGGACAAGUCUCUGAAUGUCCUUGAGUGGCCCAGCCAGAGCCCGGACUUGAAGUCGAUCAAACAUCUCUGGAGAGACCUGAUAAUAUUUGUGCAGCAACGCUCGCCAUCCAACCUGACAGAGCUUGAGAGAAUCUGCAGAGAAGAAUGGGAGAACCCUCCCCCAAAUACAGGUGCGCCAAGCUUGUAGCGUCAUACCCAAGAAGACUUGAGGCUGUAAUCGCUGCCAAAGGUGCUUCAACAAAGUACUGAGUAAAGGGUCUGAAUACUUAUGUAAAUGUCUUAUUUCAGUUUUUUAUAUGCAUUUACAAAAAAUAAACAGUUUUUGUCUUAUUAUUAUGUGGUAUUGUGUGUAGAUUGAUAAAGAAGAAAAACAACAAUUUAAUCCAUUUUAGAAUAAGAAUGUAACAUAACAAAAUGUGGAAAAAGUGAAUACUUUGUAUAUUCUCUGUGUGAGGCACAAUACGUUUUUAAGUAUCCUGACCUCCUCGGAAUUUAGCUUUGAGCGCCUCUGCAGUCCUAAAAUUGUUAAUUAAUGUUACAAUUGCAGGGGUGCAUUGUUUUAAGGACAUACACAAGAACAUGAAUUCAGCUCUGGUGCUGGUCUUCAGUGAACUGAUAAUUGCCUCUAAAGACAACCUCUGAACUGUAGAAACUUGGAGUGGAGACAUCUUACAUAAUUUUAAAUGAUAGGUUUCUGACCUGAUUUGUGUCUUAUCAGAUUGCUAAAACAGAAGAGUAUCAAGGCACAAGGCGAGACCCAGAUGCAGACACAGGAGGCAGAUGGUUGGAGUCUUAAAAUGUUUAUUAAUCCAAAGGGGUAGGCAAGAGAAUGGUCGUGGACAGGCAAACGGUCAAAACCAGAUCAGAGUCCAGGAGGUAUAGAGCGGCAGGCAGGCUUGAGGUCAAGGCAGGCAGAAUGGUCAGGCAAGCGGGUACAAAGUCCAGAAACAGGCAAGGGUCAAAACCGGGAGGACUAGAAAAAAGAGAAUGCAAAAAGCUGGAGAACGGGAAAAACACUGGUUGACUUGGAAAACAUACAAGACGAACUGGCACAGAGAGACAGGAAACACAGGGAUAAAUGGGGGGGCCAGGACAGAGUUUGGUAAACCCUGGUCUAAGUGCCUAUGUCACAUAUCUAUACAUCACAUACAAGCAUUUCACUACACCCGCAAUAACAUGUGCUAAACGUGUAUGCAACAAAUAAAAUGUUAUUUGAUUUGAACAUAACUUGGGUGUCAAACAAGGCUGUCUCCUUUACCCUCUCAACAUACUUUAAAUGAAUGUGUCUUAUCCCUUGAGACCACCACCAUGAUACCCUGAUUAAAGUUGGGUUUUGAUUGAGAAAUCCCAAAUUCUACUUGACCUGAAGGGGUAUAUUAAUAAGCGUCAAAUGAUCGACAGAUCACUCUGUAAUAAUGCCCCCUAGCAGUAAUAUCAAAUAAGAUAAGGUUAUGCAAAUAGAUCUAAGAUUGAUUGAGAUUUCACUCAAUUAUUGAGGCCCCAGGAGAUAUGGAGGAGUACAUUACCAGAAACCAAGGUAACCGUCAGACCACCUUGUCCUCAUCCCAACCCCUGAACCGCCAGGUGGAAAAAAGAACUGUUGGUCUUCCCUGUUCCCUAUUCCCCUCCAAAACAGAAUAGAAAAUAAGCACUUCUAAGCCUCCGCUACACGGCUUGAAAACUGAAUGUGUUGUUGAGUGCCGGACUGAGUUGGCCCCGGCACAACACAGGAGAUCUCGGUGUUCCUGCUGAGUUCAUUUGGUCCCUGAGCGUCAAUACAUUCCAACACUGUGAUGCACUUUUCAGUUUAUGCCUCUCAUUGUAGUCAUCUACUCAGCAGCCCUGAGGCCCCCGUUGAUAUAUGGGAUCUUAAGUGUUAUUGACUUGUCUCUCUUCUUUUGUUCUUAUGAACGCAAAUCUCAGUCAAAACUAGCCUUAAUGUACCAUAGCAAAGCAUCCAAGAAUAAGUUUUGCUCUUAUCUUGAAAUUGUCUUAUUUUUAUU
This 9651-nucleotide long non-coding RNA is filed under the name Salmo salar (Atlantic salmon). Its description in RNAcentral is "lncRNA (ENSSSAG00000086859.1)". The record is from RNAcentral. Lineage: Eukaryota; Metazoa; Chordata; Actinopteri; Salmoniformes; Salmonidae.